This 75-nucleotide transfer RNA is filed under the name Marmota monax (woodchuck). RNAcentral describes it as "tRNA.Val". It matches the Rfam family "tRNA". Rfam says of the family: Transfer RNA (tRNA) molecules are approximately 80 nucleotides in length. The record is from RNAcentral. Lineage: Eukaryota; Metazoa; Chordata; Mammalia; Rodentia; Sciuridae.
GCUGGAGGUACAGCUCAGUGGUAGAGCACCUGCCUAACAUGCAUAAGGCCCUGGGUUCCAUCCCCAGCACCAGCA